GAUGAACGCUGGCGGCGUGCCUAAUACAUGCAAGUCGAGCGAACAGACGAGGAGCUUGCUCCUCUGAUGUUAGCGGCGGACGGGUGAGUAACACGUGGAUAACCUACCUAUAAGACUGGGAUAACUUCGGGAAACCGGAGCUAAUACCGGAUAACAUGUUGAACCGCAUGGUUCAACAGUGAAAGACGGUCUUGCUGUCACUUAUAGAUGGAUCCGCGCCGCAUUAGCUAGUUGGUAAGGUAACGGCUUACCAAGGCAACGAUGCGUAGCCGACCUGAGAGGGUGAUCGGCCACACUGGAACUGAGACACGGUCCAGACUCCUACGGGAGGCAGCAGUAGGGAAUCUUGCGCAAUGGGCGAAAGCCUGACGGAGCAACGCCGCGUGAGUGAAGAAGGUCUUCGGAUCGUAAAACUCUGUUAUUAGGGAAGAACAAAUGUGUAAGUAACCAUGCACGUCUUGACGGUACCUAAUCAGAAAGCCACGGCUAACUACGUG
RNAcentral lists this ribosomal RNA (497 nucleotides) under uncultured bacterium. RNAcentral describes it as "partial 16S ribosomal RNA". It matches the Rfam family "Bacterial small subunit ribosomal RNA", at positions 28 to 507 of the family's 1533-position model. The record is from RNAcentral.